AUUUCAUUUCAAGGAGAGCAGCUGAAGACAUUUGCUCAAAUCUACCUUGCUUAAUCCCUGUUUGGCACAACUGAGAUAUCCAGUGACAUUUCCACCUCCCUGCGGAACUGGAAUGCUAAAGAUCUAGAUGGCUGGAUGCAUACAGGGAGGAAAUCAUGACCUUCCAUGAUGGGAAAAGUUGUCUUCUCUCAUGUGGUCUGGGAAGGAGGUGAUAUGUAAGUAAAUCUGAGAACUGGAGAUGAUGAUGCCAAACAGAAUAUUAAUAAAAACUCCUUACUCCUGCUUCUACCAUAUCUCUGGAUGUAAAGAAGAGAAUUUAGCUGCAUACCAGUUGCUGAGGACUACUCCCUACUGCGAAAUGUUAUAGACAAGAAGUUGCCAGGCAAAGAGUGCAUCUCAAGAAUGGUGUGGGAUUUGGUUCAAGCUCAAUAAAUUCAACAACAAAUACCGGAUCUUCAGCUGGUGUAAAUUUCACACAUUACUACAAAAGCAGCCGCUGCCUUUCACGGUGGGAAUUUUCCUGGUAUCUUGGGUAUACACAUUUUGCAAGUGAUGGACUGUCCACCUCUGUAACUUUGAAAAUGAUGCUUUGCUUUUUUCCAUGCUUUCCAUGCUAGUGUCCAUAAUCUCAGUAGCACUUUUCUCCUCCUUUUUAUUCUCUUUGUUGUUGAUCAGUAGAAUGAUUAUUUGUACAGACAUUUUCCAGAAAUACAUGACCAAAUCUUGCCUGCAGCAUUGGAGAAAAACUUGGUCCAUGUGCCAAGAUGGGGCCAAAAAAGCACAGCACAAGAUGUGUUUGAUUUUCUUUUAGGAAAUCAUAGUAUUUGCAACAAUCUGGCCCUCCCUGCCAAAAUAAUCCAACCCUCUUUCAAUAUUUGCCAGGAAAGCUAGACCAAUAUAUCAAUCUUUAAUUAUAGAAAACCAUGUCUGAGUACAGGAAAAAAGGAAGUUUUAAUUCUCUCCAAGGCAUUGAUUUCUUUUGCAGCCUCUGAGAAGUCAAUCAACCUGCUUGACCCUGUGGUGGCCACUUAUUCAUAAUAUAGGUGAUGCAGGAAGGGCUGAUGGGGCAAAGUUUAUAUGUGGGUUGUCCAUGGCUUGAAUGAAGUGCUUCUAUGAGGGACUGACUUAAUAAAGAGCUAGCUCACCUUUGCAGGCUUGGAAUUGUGCAAGAACUCCUCAGAAAAGCUCUCUUAUUUUACACAGAAAUGAUUUGUUCUACUCACAAGCAUAUUUCUUCCUUAGGAAGAUAUCUUUAGGAUUAGGCUCUCUGAAGUGCAACAAAGACAAGUUGCACUUUCUAAAGGCUCUGACAUAUGUAAAAGGUUUUUCUGAAAUUUGGCCAUUUAAAUUAUUUUAAAAGUCUUCUUGUUAACAAAUUGAGCCACAAAUAAGAGCUAAUGGUAUCCAAACAUGUGGUUUUGCUCCACAGUGAUUACCUUAUUGCAUUAUCUAUGUCAAGGAAAAGCUCUCAUGUUCAUGAUGCAUAUUUUCUGCACGAUUCAUGAUUGCUGUGCUCAGCCCUGUGCAGUUAGAGGCUUCUGAAGACCCAUCCAGCUCUGCUCUCUGCUCUUCUGUGGUGGCCACAGAAAUUUCUUCCUCUUUAUGACAGGAAAAAAUAGAAAGAAACUAUGACGAUUUCUGAAAGAUGAAGAUCAGUAGCUGCUACCUGUUGUACCCUGCCAAGGUAUACAGCUUACGAGUGGCACCCUACUGUUCUGGGUGUAUUUGAUCUGCAUCAAGCAUUGUCUCAUUGUCUCAUUGACAGGAUUCCCUGACAGAGAAAGUAUGCCAGGUUUGCUGAGUCCUGGGAAGAUAGAUGAUACCAGUUGUGCUGGUUCAUCAGUACAAUGUCAGGUCCAGAGGAAUGCAAGCCAGAGGGAUUCAUGAUCUGUUCUUGGUAAAAUCAAGCCCCACUCAAGCUUUCUAAGGAAAUUAUGAACAAGUAGGUUGAUUUUAUACCAGGUCAGCUCUUUACAUUUUGCAGGUGUGACUUAAUACUCAGACUUCAGAAGCUGAAUUUGCAAUACCAUCUAACCGCAGCUCCAAGAGAAGUUUAUAACCCUCUCCCCGUGUCAUCUCUAUUGACCUCAAAAUGAAACUCUUAUUUGCCAUACUUUGUGGAUUAUGGAGCCCUCUAAUGUCAGGAAGCUGCACUGGGUGAAAUGUGUCCUCUCCUCUGAGCUCAUUCAAGUUGUGGAUACUGUCAGAUUCAUUACUCUGCUUUAAAACACAGGAUAGUAUACUUUAUGAAUGAAAGACAUGUAUUAUGUAUGCUAGCACACUUCCAAAUUGUGCUCCUGUUUACACUCUGAAAUCUGCUGACUACAGUGGUACAUAAUCAGGACAGAACUCAUCAUUGUUUCUUUAGGAAAUUCAUAUUUUUCUUGUUAGAGAUGUUUUUGCUGCAGUAGUGACAUACAUAGCUCCAUCAAGUUCUGAUCAGAAAAUGGAGUAAAUAAGCAGUUGCAUUACAAUUUCCUUCUCAGAACAGAUACAAAGCAGAUUUCUGGAAAAGGGCAGUAAGUUAAAGUUAGAAAUAAAAUCCUGCCAAACCCUGAAAGCUGAGCAAAAUAUGUUACCAAAGAAACCAAAAAUACAAAAAGAGAGACAAGUCACUGAACCUCAGACAUUGCCCACUUUCUAAAAGCCAAAGUAAUCUAUAUUAAUAGAGAGCUUAGCACGUAGCAAUGACAAAAUCUGUAUUAAAUGGCAUAAAAAAGCCAGUCUAAUUUUCCAUGACCCUACAUAAGCCUAGUAAUACUCAUUAGUGUCUACAUAAAUUUGUUAAACCUUCUUAGCAUUGAGGAAACAUGACUUCUUUCAAUUUGGAUUUGUUUGCAGCUAAAACUUUCAAACACUGUCGCUUUCAUGGGGGUGAUAAUAACUUAUAUUUGAGGAUUAAGGAAACACAUUAUAUAUUCCACAUCUCAGUCAAAGUAACUAAACAGUGUGACCUACCACCUUUCUCAAAGCAAUCAAAUGGACAAAUCUCUGCCCUUUAAAGUAAACAGGCUUGCCUGUAAGACAACCAUUCUGAAAUUCAUAAUCAAGUGAAAAAUUAGAUGAAUGCAAGUGAGGUUAUGAGUUGAUGCAGCUUGAUUGUAACAAGAGGGCCAUUAAUAGUUAUUAAUGAUAAGUGGGAUAAACUGUCAGAUAUCAUCCAUGUGUAACUAGGUAGACAUGAACGAACGAUUAAUAAACGUGUCCUAAAGAAAAAGA
Molecule: long non-coding RNA, 3219 nt
Organism: Anas platyrhynchos (mallard)
Lineage: Eukaryota; Metazoa; Chordata; Aves; Anseriformes; Anatidae
Source: RefSeq, a predicted model, not a curated record